This is a long non-coding RNA of Apis cerana (Asiatic honeybee), 1165 nucleotides long. RefSeq lists it as uncharacterized. Lineage: Eukaryota; Metazoa; Arthropoda; Insecta; Hymenoptera; Apidae. The record is from RefSeq and is a predicted model, not a curated record.
GGAUUCGGAAGGGAUAACGUCGUGCAAAAUUAACGUCGUGCUUGUUUUAAGAAGAAACGUAUUUUUUCCAAUCAGAGAGCAACUACGGCCCAACGCUCGACGAAUCAGUACGUUCGGCUUCAGUCUGCUGUUGGACCUCGUGGGGAUAGGACGGAUGGAGAUACAACUGGUUAAAAUUUUUGAUUGCUGAGGUAAUUUUCAAGAUAUUGAUAUCGCAAUGGUGACAGAUGGUGACUUCAUGGCAAAGCGGUAACGUUUAAUCUUUUGUAUCGAAAAUAAAUACAUUUUUAAGUAUUUAUUUUUUAUUCUAUUAUUAUUUUAUUAUGUUAAAUAAUUCAUAAUUCUACAUAAUUUUAUUUCGGAUUUGUUAAGUUAUUUUUUUAAUUUCAAAUUGAUUGAAUUUAUUUUUCUCUUGCAUUUAAUUUGUAGUUUCAAGAGAUAAUAAUUUUUAUGAACAAAUGCUCGAUACCCUACCCUUCCCCACUAAUACAGAUUUAUUUUCAGAAAAAUUUUGUGAUCGCGCGCAAUGCGAUCGGUAGAGUCAGUGUUGUUUCGUAAUACAGUAUUUUUAAGAUUAUUUUUUAGAGCACAGCUGCUCUUAUUCAAUUUAAUUAUAAUAAUCAUUCGCGAAAUUAGAGUCAGUGUUUAUUCGCCGAAUAUUAAAUACGGACGCGUUAAUAGUUUAUUUUGUUUCAUUUUUUUUCUUACAAAUUUUCGUUUUCGGUACAGAGUAAAAUCAGUGCUCUCAAGAACAUAAGGCGAUCAUCCAUCACGCGAAGAGGUAAUUAUCUUUGCAUAUUUUUCACGAAUAUAGUUUCAUUUUUCUUUCAGUUUUCUUUAUUAAUUAAUAUAUAUACUAUGUUCUAAAUUACGGUAUUCCAUUUUUUCUCCUUUUUUUCAGUUUUCACAGUUUUCAUCCUUCUACUUGAUGACAACUUCGCGAUGGGUCAUGACAGCAUUGGUGGCAACGCAGAUUCUUCGCAUCUAUGGUGAGUCGCAUGCAUUUUGGUUCCUCUGGUCACUCAAUCAUGUCGUAGGAUGAAAGAUCCGAAUCGACACGGGUGAUUGGUUGUAUACGUAGAAUUUUGUACGAGCACAAUGACCAUGGGUAUUUAUUAUAUCCGUGAAUAGUGACAUUUCAUAUGUUUGUGUUUUAUUUAUUAGA